Molecule: ribosomal RNA, 465 nt
Filed under: Ophiodon elongatus
Lineage: Eukaryota; Metazoa; Chordata; Actinopteri; Perciformes; Hexagrammidae
Description: partial 16S ribosomal RNA
Rfam family: Bacterial large subunit ribosomal RNA
Source: RNAcentral
CGGUAUUUUGACCGUGCGAAGGUAGCGCAAUCACUUGUCUUUUAAAUGAAGACCCGUAUGAAUGGCAUAACGAGGGCUCAGCUGUCUCCUCUUUCCGGUCAAUGAAAUUGAUCUUUCCGUGCAGAAGCGGGAAUACAAACAUAAGACGAGAAGACCCUAUGGAGCUUUAGACGCCAAGGCAGCCCACGUUAAGCACCCCCCUACAAGGGACUAAACCACAGUGAAACCUGCCCUAAUGUCUUUGGUUGGGGCGACCGCGGGGAAUUAAAGAACCCCCACGUGGAAUGGGAGCACUCCUCCUACAGCUAAGAGCUACCGCUCUAGUAAACAGAAUUUCUGACCAAUAAGAUCCGGCAAUGCCGAUCAACGGACCGAGUUACCCUAGGGAUAACAGCGCAAUCCUCUUUUAGAGCCCAUAUCGACAAGGGGGUUUACGACCUCGAUGUUGGAUCAGGACAUCCUAAU